GACGAACGCUGGCGGCGUGCUUAACACAUGCAAGUCGAACGGUGAAGCGAGUGCUUGCACUCGUGGAUCAGUGGCGAACGGGUGAGUAACACGUGAGUAACCUGCCCAUCACUCUGGGAUAAGCACUGGAAACGGUGUCUAAUACUGGAUACGACCAACCCUUGCAUGGGGUGGUGGGGGAAAGAUUGGUCGGUGAUGGAUGGACUCGCGGCCUAUCAGCUUGUUGGCGGGGUAAUGGCCCACCAAGGCGACGACGGGUAGCCGGCCUGAGAGGGUGACCGGCCACACUGGGACUGAGACACGGCCCAGACUCCUACGGGAGGCAGCAGUGGGGAAUAUUGCACAAUGGGCGAAAGCCUGAUGCAGCGACGCCGCGUGAGGGAUGACGGCCUUCGGGUUGUAAACCUCUUUCAGCAGGGAAGAAGCGAAAGUGACGGUAACUGCAGAAGAAGCACCGGCUAACUACGUG
Molecule: ribosomal RNA, 469 nt
Filed under: uncultured bacterium
Lineage: Bacteria
Description: partial 16S ribosomal RNA
Rfam family: Bacterial small subunit ribosomal RNA
Source: RNAcentral